This 75-nucleotide transfer RNA is filed under the name Candidatus Poribacteria bacterium. RNAcentral describes it as "tRNA-Glu". It matches the Rfam family "tRNA". From Rfam's summary of the family: Transfer RNA (tRNA) molecules are approximately 80 nucleotides in length. The record is from RNAcentral. Lineage: Bacteria; Candidatus Poribacteria.
GUCCCCGUCGUCUAGUCUGGCCAAGGACACUGCCCUUUCACGGCAGCGACACGGGUUCAAAUCCCGUCGGGGAUG